Molecule: small nuclear RNA, 103 nt
Organism: Prolemur simus (greater bamboo lemur)
Lineage: Eukaryota; Metazoa; Chordata; Mammalia; Primates; Lemuridae
Source: Ensembl
GUCCCUCUUAGAACAGCACAUAUGCUAAAAUUGGAAAGAGACAGAGAUUAGCUGGCCCCUGCCCAAGGAUGACACGCAAAUUCAUGAAGCGUAAGAAAAAGGA